UCUACUUCCCUUCUCUUCUAGCGACCACAGCAAGGGACGGGCUGGAUAAUUAGCGGGAAGAGACCUUUGAGCUGACUCUAAUCUGCAGUGUAGAGACAUAAGAGGUGUAGAUAAGUGGAGAUAUAGACCUCGGUUUGGUAUCGUCAAUGAAAUACCACUACUCUUAUGUUCCUUACUUACUUGAUUAAAUGGAACGUGUAUCAUUUCCUAGCCAUUAUACGGAUAUAUUUAUUAUAUCUUAUGGUAUUGGGUUUUGAUGCAAGCUUCUUGAUCAAAGUAUCACGAGUUUGUUAUAUAAUCGCAAACAAAUUCUUUAAUAAAACGAUGCAUUUAUGUAUUUUUGAUUUGAAAAUUUGGUAUAACUCCAAUUACUCAGGUAUGAUCCAAUUCAAGGACAUUGCCAGGUAGGGAGUUUGACUGGGGCGGUACAUCUCUCAAAUAAUAACGGAGGUGUCCCAAGGCCAGCUCAGUGCGGACAGAAACCACACAUAGAGCAAAAGGGCAAAUGCUGACUUGAUCUCGGUGUUCAGUACACACAGGGACAGCAAAAGCUCGGCCUAUCGAUCCUUUUGGUUUAAAGAGUUUUUAACAAGAGGUGUCAGAAAAGUUACCAUAGGGAUAACUGGCUUGUGGCGGCCAAGCGUUCAUAGCGACGUCGCUUUUUGAUCCUUCGAUGUCGGCUCUUCCUAUCAUUGUGAAGCAAAAUUCACCAAGCGUUGGAUUGUUCACCCAUGCAAGGGAACGUGAGCUGGGUUUAGACCGUCGUGAGACAGGUUAGUUUUACCCUACUAAUGACAAAACGUUGUUGCGACAGCAUUCCUGCGUAGUACGAGAGGAACCGCAGGUACGGACCAAUGGCACAAUACUUGUUCGAGCGAACAGUGGUAUGACGCUACGUCCGUUGGAUUAUGCCUGAACGCCUCUAAGGUCUUAGUAUCCGUGCUGGACUGCAAUGAUAAAUAAGGGGCAAUUUGCAUUGUAUGGCUUCUAAAC
This 993-nucleotide non-coding RNA is filed under the name Drosophila simulans. Its description in RNAcentral is "Eukaryotic large subunit ribosomal RNA". It matches the Rfam family "Eukaryotic large subunit ribosomal RNA", at positions 2335 to 3197 of the family's 3401-position model. The record is from Rfam by way of RNAcentral. Lineage: Eukaryota; Metazoa; Arthropoda; Insecta; Diptera; Drosophilidae.